UCUGGUACCCUGCGAUCCGAGCGUGCUUUCAUAGUUUUAUUCCUAUGAAUUUAAUCGGGUGGACUGGUAGUUUGACUUACGUAAAUAAAUGUGGCUCGCACUCAGAGGCUGAAGCAGUGAGGACCCUCCCUGCGAUGCAUCUGGAGAGUACCUCCAGCUUGUAGGGAUCCCAGUACUACACUGCCUGCUGUCGUCUGAAAACAUGUUUUUCUGGUGUUUGGUAUUUUCUAGGCAAGAAGGUGGCAAGAGGGACUUUGCAGAUUUGAUUCGGUUAAGGAGCCAGAGAUUGAAAGAUUGUCCUGGAUUAUUCGGGUGGAUAGACCCUGUGUAAUUAUGAUGAUAAGAAGGAGGCAGGCGUGUCAGUGUGAGAUGUGAUGACCAGAGCAGAGGUGAGAAAGAGAGAGAAAGAAGAAAAAAAAAGACUUGAAGAUGGAGGAAGGAACGAAGAUCCAAGGUGUAAAGGUAAACUCUAGAAGCUGGAAAGGAAGGAAGAAGAUUUUCCCAUAGAGCCUCCAAAGGAAUGCAACUGCGCCAGCACCUUGAUUUCAUCUAACCUCCAAAACUCAUGCAUUCACAUAUUUUCCUGGCCCAUCACUAUAGUAACUGGGAGAGAGUCCUCAUCCUGAAGGAGCUCAGAGGACACGAAAGCAGAAGCCUGAGAAGCAAGAGCCUACACAGAAGAAAGGAAAAUCUGAGAAACAUUUGAAAUUAAAAUAGUGACCUUCUAUCAACUAUGAGUGAGGCCAUACCAAUUCUAUUGACCAUGAAUAUGUGAAGAUCAAUUUGACAAAGCCAUUGACAGAUUUGCAGAAGUGAAGGCUUAAAGCAGAAAGCACAGUGGAGUUAUUCAUCACCAUCACCAUGGGGAC
Long non-coding RNA from Mesoplodon densirostris (Blainville's beaked whale), 869 nucleotides. RefSeq lists it as uncharacterized. The record is from RefSeq and is a predicted model, not a curated record. NCBI's taxonomy places the organism in Eukaryota, Metazoa, Chordata, Mammalia, Artiodactyla, Ziphiidae. The transcript is spliced from 4 exons.